Molecule: long non-coding RNA, 504 nt
Filed under: Athene cunicularia (burrowing owl)
Lineage: Eukaryota; Metazoa; Chordata; Aves; Strigiformes; Strigidae
Description: lncRNA (ENSACUG00000002956.1)
Source: RNAcentral
UGUCCUGAAGACUUAGAGAUGUAUCCAUUUUAUCGACUGAUGUGUUUGCAAAGUGGUACAGAAAAAUUUACAUGCCUUAGGGUAUGGAAAACAUGCAUUAUUAAUAGUAUUUUAAAAGGCUCUCUAACUUCAUUGUUGCCAGAUGGGAUGAGAAGAUAAGUAUCCUGCACCGCAAAUGGCCUCCUGUUUGACCUUUAUUGUUAGCUAGUCUGGAGUCAGUUUUGGUGGAUGAAGGUUGAUGACUCUAAGAUGUUUGACAGAAUCAAAUCAUCUGAUGAAGCUUCUGCUUCUUCAGCACAAGGAGUCAAAAGACAUGGUGUUGAAGGCUCUCUACAACAGGACAGCACUAGCAGUUCACACACAGGAGAGCAAGAACAUACUCAGCCUGGAGUAUCCACUGUGCAAAACAGACAAGGAUACUGCAACUGCUGCCGUGUACACUACAGCAAUCUGGAACAGGUGAGAAGGUUUCUGCAUAAUUCAGCAACAGCUAGCAAAGAGUAC